UGCUCCAUCUGCUCCAAGUCGAUCUUGGCCUUGUCAUACGUCCAGGAGCCGAACUUCAUCUUGCAGUUCUGCUGGUCGAAGGGGAAGAAGGUGACAUCGAUGCUGCAGGAGCUCUUGUAGAUGGCCGGGGGCACCCAGUGCACAGUCCCCGUGGAGAAGAGGGCCUGUACGGGAGCUGUAGGGGAUGGAAUGUGAGACACAGGCCUGCCCUUAAGGAACCUUGAGGAAAUGAGAUGCAGCCUACACACCUACACCACAAGGGAGGCAGUUUGGCAACAGCCCUGCAAGGACAUUCCAGGGAACCAGAAGAAUACACGGGAAGACAGCCUUCUUUCCCAUGGAGAAAUUCCAGACCAGAGAUUGGAAAACGGAAUUGGAAACAGGAACUGUGAUAGUAACAAAUUUCAGGACAAACUUUUUUUAAAGGCAUUUUUGUCACCACACGGAAUUACCACUAGGUGGCAACAUGUGCCCCGUUCCGAGGACGGAAAAGUGUAGCUUCCUUGAUCCUCCAGUUUCGCCUAGAGUGGAACUCCAUGGAGACCCUUCUUUGAAUGUCUGCAAGAAUUUGG
This is a long non-coding RNA of Suricata suricatta (meerkat), 572 nucleotides long. RefSeq lists it as uncharacterized. The record is from RefSeq and is a predicted model, not a curated record. The transcript is spliced from 3 exons. Lineage: Eukaryota; Metazoa; Chordata; Mammalia; Carnivora; Herpestidae.